RNAcentral lists this ribosomal RNA (666 nucleotides) under uncultured bacterium. RNAcentral describes it as "bacterial SSU rRNA". It matches the Rfam family "Bacterial small subunit ribosomal RNA", at positions 796 to 1459 of the family's 1533-position model. The record is from RNAcentral.
CACGCCGUAAACGCUGAGUGCUAGGUGUUAGNUCCUUUCCGGGACUUAGUGCCGACGCUAACGCAUUAAGCACUCCGCCUGGGGAGUACGACCGCAAGGUUGAAACUCAAAGGAAUUGACGGGGGCCCGCACAAGCGGUGGAGCAUGUGGUUUAAUUCGAAGCAACGCGAAGAACCUUACCAGGUCUUGACAUCCCGAUGCCCGCUCUAGAGAUAGAGUUUUACUUUUUGUACAUCGGAGACAGGUGGUGCAUGGUUGUCGUCAGCUCGUGUCGUGAGAUGUUGGGUUAAGUCCCGCAACGAGCGCAACCCUUAUUGUUAGUUGCCAUCAUUAAGUUGGGCACUCUAGCGAGACUGCCGGUAAUAAACCGGAGGAAGGUGGGGAUGACGUCAAAUCAUCAUGCCCCUUAUGACCUGGGCUAUACACGUGCUACAAUGGUUGGUACAACGAGUCACAAGCCGGUGACGGCAAGCUAAUCUCUGAAAGCCAAUCUCAGUUCGGAUUGUAGGCUGCAACUCGCCUACAUGAAGUCGGAAUCGCUAGUAAUCGCGGAUCAGCACGCCGCGGUGAAUACGUUCCCGGGCCUUGUACACACCGCCCGUCACACCACGAGAGUUUGUAACACCCAAAGUCGGUGAGGUAACCAUUCAUGGGGCCANCCGCCUA